RNAcentral lists this ribosomal RNA (229 nucleotides) under uncultured bacterium. Its description in RNAcentral is "partial 16S ribosomal RNA". It matches the Rfam family "Bacterial small subunit ribosomal RNA", at positions 568 to 796 of the family's 1533-position model. The record is from RNAcentral.
UCCGCAGGCGGGCAAUUAAGUCAGGGGUGAAAUGGUGCGGCUCAACCGUAGCACUGCCCUUGAUACUGGUUGUCUUGAGUCAUAGUGAAGUGGCCGGAAUAUGCAGUGUAGCGGUGAAAUGCAUAGAUAUUACAUAGAACACCGAUUGCGAAGGCAGGUCACUAACUAUCGACUGACGCUGAUGGACGAAAGCGUGGGGAGCGAACAGGAUUAGAUACCCUGGUAGUCC